RNAcentral lists this ribosomal RNA (375 nucleotides) under uncultured bacterium. Its description in RNAcentral is "partial 16S ribosomal RNA". It matches the Rfam family "Bacterial small subunit ribosomal RNA", at positions 338 to 730 of the family's 1533-position model. The record is from RNAcentral.
CCUACGGGUGGCAGCAGUGGGGAAUAUUGCACAAUGGGGGAAACCCUGAUGCAGCGACGCCGCGUGAGUGAAGAAGUAAUUCGUUAUGUAAAGCUCUAUCAGCAGGGAAGAAAAUGACGGUACCUGAGUAAGAAGCCCCGGCUAACUACGUGCCAGCAGCCGCGGUAAUACGUAGGGGGCAAGCGUUAUCCGGAUUUACUGGGUGUAAAGGGAGCGUAGACGGCAGUGCAAGUCUGGAGUGAAAGGCGGGGGCUCAACCCCCGGACUGCUCUGGAAACUGUACGGCUAGAGUGCAGGAGCGGUAAGUGGAAUUCAUGGUGUAGCGGUGAAAUGCGUAGAGAUCACGCAGAACACCGAUUGCGAAGGCAGCGUACC